This 477-nucleotide ribosomal RNA is filed under the name uncultured bacterium. Its description in RNAcentral is "partial 16S ribosomal RNA". It matches the Rfam family "Bacterial small subunit ribosomal RNA", at positions 28 to 523 of the family's 1533-position model. The record is from RNAcentral.
GACGAACGCUGGCGGCGUGCUUAACACAUGCAAGUCGAACGGUAAGGCCCUUCGGGGUACACGAGUGGCGAACGGGUGAGUAACACGUGGGUGAUCUGCUCUGCACUUCGGGAUAAGCCUGGAAACUGGGUCUAAUACCGGAUAGGACUCCGGACUGCAUGGUCUGGGGUGGAAAGCUUUUGCGGUGUGGGAUGGGCCCGCGGCCUAUCAGCUUGUUGGUGGGGUGAUGGCCUACCAAGGCGACGACGGGUGGCCGGCCUGAGAGGGUGACCGGCCACACUGGGACUGGGAUACGGCCCAGACUCCUACGGGAGGCAGCAGUGGGGAAUAUUGCACAAUGGGCGCAAGCCUGAUGCAGCGACGCCGCGUGAGGGAUGACGGCCUUCGGGUUGUAAACCUCUUUCAGCAUCGACGAAGCGAAAGUGACGGUAGGUGCAGAAGAAGGACCGGCCAGCUACGUGCCAGCAGCCGCAGUAA